Molecule: ribosomal RNA, 293 nt
Filed under: uncultured Thermus sp.
Lineage: Bacteria; Thermotogati; Deinococcota; Deinococci; Thermales; Thermaceae
Description: partial 16S ribosomal RNA
Rfam family: Bacterial small subunit ribosomal RNA
Source: RNAcentral
GCAACGAGCGCAACCCCCGCCGUUAGUUGCCAGCGGUUCGGCCGGGCACUCUAACGGGACUGCCCGCGAAAGCGGGAGGAAGGAGGGGACGACGUCUGGUCAGCAUGGCCCUUACGGCCUGGGCGACACACGUGCUACAAUGCCCACUACAAAGCGAUGCCACCCGGCAACGGGGAGCUAAUCGCAAAAAGGUGGGCCCAGUUCGGAUUGGGGUCUGCAACCCGACCCCAUGAAGCCGGAAUCGCUAGUAAUCGCGGAUCAGCCAUGCCGCGGUGAAUACGUUCCCGGGCCUU